UAUUGGAUUUGCUGGUCUACCCGAGGUCAUGUUUUAGAGACUACUUGAUAUGUGCUCGAGAAUAUUUUAAGCAAAUCGAUCACCAAAACUCCAUAUGAGAUGUGGACUUGGAUAAUUCGAUACUCUCUUACCUUAGGAUUUGGGGUGUCGAAUUUGUGUGAAAUAUUUAUAAAUCGAUUAGCUUGGAUCUUGGUCUAAUAAACAUUAUCUAAGGAUAUUUAUUCUAUCUUUUUGAUGGACA
RNAcentral lists this long non-coding RNA (241 nucleotides) under Elaeis guineensis (African oil palm). Its description in RNAcentral is "long non-coding RNA (EGUI_LNC051923)". Lineage: Eukaryota; Viridiplantae; Streptophyta; Magnoliopsida; Arecales; Arecaceae. The record is from RNAcentral.